This 494-nucleotide ribosomal RNA is filed under the name uncultured bacterium. RNAcentral's name for it is "bacterial SSU rRNA". It matches the Rfam family "Bacterial small subunit ribosomal RNA", at positions 903 to 1397 of the family's 1533-position model. The record is from RNAcentral.
AAAGGAAUUGACGGGGGCCCGCACAAGCGGAGGAACAUGUGGUUUAAUUCGAUGAUACGCGAGGAACCUUACCCGGGUUUGAACGCAGAGAGACAGGAGUGGAAACAUUCUUUUCAGCAAUGACUGUCUGCGAGGUGCUGCAUGGUUGUCGUCAGCUCGUGCCGUGAGGUGUCGGCUUAAGUGCCAUAACGAGCGCAACCCUUAUCUUUAGUUACUAACAGGUCAAGCUGAGGACUCUAGAGAGACUGCCAGCGUAAGCUGUGAGGAAGGUGGGGAUGACGUCAAAUCAGCACGGCCCUUACAUCCGGGGCGACACACGUGUUACAAUGGUAAGGACAAAGGGCAGCUACCGGGCGACCGGAUGCGAAUCUCUAAACCUUAUCUCAGUUCGGAUCGGAGUCUGCAACUCGACUCCGUGAAGCUGGAUUCGCUAGUAAUCGCGCAUCAGCCAUGGCGCGGUGAAUACGUUCCCGGGCCUUGUACACACCGCCCGU